This 253-nucleotide ribosomal RNA is filed under the name uncultured bacterium. RNAcentral's name for it is "partial 16S ribosomal RNA". It matches the Rfam family "Bacterial small subunit ribosomal RNA", at positions 524 to 776 of the family's 1533-position model. The record is from RNAcentral.
GACGUAGGGCGCGAGCGUUGUCCGGAUUUAUUGGGCGUAAAGAGCUCGUAGGCGGUUUGUCGCGUCGGGAGUGAAAACCUUGGGCUUAACUCAGGGCUUGCUUUCGAUACGGGCAGACUAGAGGUAUGCAGGGGAGAACGGAAUUCCUGGUGUAGCGGUGAAAUGCGCAGAUAUCAGGAGGAACACCGGUGGCGAAGGCGGUUCUCUGGGCAUUACCUGACGCUGAGGAGCGAAAGUGUGGGGAGCGAACAGG